GUGACUGCCUAUAUGAAGGAUUUAUGUAAAACGGCGCAACUGUUUCAGCCUUUGCUUUGAUGCUCAUCUUGGGGAAAAUCUGAGGAGAAGAAGUUGAGGUGUGAGUACAUGUAAAGGUGACUUAAGAGCAGUGCUGAUUACACUGAAGUCCUCUCUUCACCCCACACAAUGCUUUGAUGGCAGAGAGAAUUUCCAGUGCAUCCUGUAACAACCCUGCCUCAAACAGCAACCGGAAAUGAUUGGGCUCUCAAUGCUGCUGAAUGGCAAGGAGUUUACCUAACUGCUCAGGGCAGAGGCAGAUGUCCCCCAGUGCCAGGAAUCCAGCUGGUGUCUGAAGACCACCACAUUUCAAGAAACCAUGUUUUGUUGCCUUCUGGGGGGACUUUUACAGGACAAGCUCAUUACGAGAGUUGAUGGCAGAGUUGAGGGAGCAGCAGAUGGUUUGCCACUAUGUUUUCCCACAUUUGUCAACCAGCAGUUGAAAGGCUGGAGAAACAAGGUGGGAGUCUCACAAGAUGUUUUGGUGUGAUGGAUGGCAGGGAUCCUGCCUCUCUGCUCUACAGCCACCAGUUCAUUUAAUCCGCUAUGGGGUAUCUGGGGCCUGGAUGGCUUAUAGCUGUCACUUUUCUGUCAAAGCCUUUGCUGGCGGGAGUCCUUAUGAAUUCAGAACUGUCCAUUCACAGUGUUUCAAACUUCAUUUUAAGACAGCAAUCACAACCUAUUAACCCUCCCAAUUUAUUCUGCAUGUUACCACCACAGCCCCCUUCACGGGGAGCGCUGGGGGGGGGGGGGGCCGC
This is a long non-coding RNA of Cygnus olor (mute swan), 797 nucleotides long. RefSeq lists it as uncharacterized. The transcript is spliced from 4 exons. NCBI's taxonomy places the organism in Eukaryota, Metazoa, Chordata, Aves, Anseriformes, Anatidae. The record is from RefSeq and is a predicted model, not a curated record.